This 216-nucleotide long non-coding RNA is filed under the name Elaeis guineensis (African oil palm). RNAcentral describes it as "long non-coding RNA (EGUI_LNC049759)". Lineage: Eukaryota; Viridiplantae; Streptophyta; Magnoliopsida; Arecales; Arecaceae. The record is from RNAcentral.
AUGGGUGGGAGUGACUGCUGACCCUAAUCGAUGUAACAAAAAAGAUUGACCCCUAGCUUCAUGCAGAUUUUCAAAUUCUAUAAUCUCCUGUAAUGGUUACAAAUAGAUGGAUAAGACAUCUACAAUCAUUCAAAUCCUGUUGAAUUAGACAGACAGUACGAAGCAUGUCAAGCCUGAUAUGGCAGUAGUGCUCCUGCACUCCUGCCCUCUUACAGC